GUUUACCGCGGCGGCGUGCGCUGGCAGCGGGUGGCCUACUUCUUUGACUCCGUGGCCUUUGCGGACCUCGUGAGGAUGUCACCCAUAUUGAUUCUUCUGGUGUUCUGAGGACGCCGGCUGUGUAUAUCUUCCCCCUGAGGAGGUUGAACCAGGCCAUCUACCUGCUCCACACUUAAUAACCUACUAAUAUAUAUAUACUUUAUUUCGCCUGGAGAAAGAGCACCUAACCCGGCCUGCUCCUGUGAUGGUGGCCUCAUGGUCCUACGAGUGCACGAUCUGCCUGGACGAGUUCAAGAACGCCGGCAAGUCGGGCUGAGUGAACCUGCCCUGCUCGCACGCUGUUGCUGUCCGCAACGAUGCACUGUUUAUGUCGCUGGAGAGGAUACCACAGUCUUUGGCCCCCGCUGCUCAGCGUCCAGGAUGCAUCAGCAUCAAGUAACGGAUUUUUACAUGGACUAGAUGGCAGACAAAGCAAAAGCCUGUAGUAGCUGUUGCAGCAGGCUUCCGCGUCAUUUGUUUGAAGGAUGCUGUAAAAUAGAGGGGUGACAAGCAAGGAGAUGCCAUCUCUAUAUAUGCAGCCUCAGCCUUUGCAAGGAUGACAAUUCAGUUUUUUAUUCAGAAAAGUUCAAGGUUGAGAGCCGUGGUACUUCAAAGCAUGGUAAUGUAAGUUCUCUUUUCACCUCAGAUGUCAGAUAAUAGUUUUAUUUGACUAUGAAUAGUAUGUAUACGCAUAGUCCAGAAUUUUAUUUAAUGUGGGCUGAACCUGGACCUUGAGUUCUUAUUGUUUAAGAGGGUUUUGUCUAUGAUGUAGCUGGUUGCAUUUGCUGGAAGUGAUCUGGACUAAGAUCAAAGUGGCUAUCCUAUUUUGGGACUCGACACAAUGUGUCCUGAGAUGAACUCUGUUUUUUUUUUUGCCUUAUUGAUGCCUGUGCUGCUAUUUAUAUUGAGAACAUGAGUUGUCAUCCUAAACUCUCGCCUAAUUGUUGCCUUAAUUGGAACCUUAAACCCGGUAUUUAAUUAGUCUGUUUCGGAUUUGAUCUUGAGUUCUUGUUAUUUAUAAAACUUUUGUCAAUAGUGUUGCUUGUUGCACUUGUUGGAGCUGAUCUGGACUUAAAUGAUCCAAGUGGCUAAGGUCUAUUCUGAUUAAACACAAUGCUACCUUGUGGAAUUCAUUCCGGUGCCUUAUUGAUGCCUGUGCUGCUGCAUAUCUCCAAAGAUGGAUUUCUGCCACUAAGAUGCUUAUUUGGUUCAAGUAGCUUGCUUGCUUGGCUAUGAAUGAAUAAAUAAAGUGUGGCAGUUAAGAAAAGUAAUCUUGUCUUGGAAAUAAGCAAUGACUGACUGACUGUGUUUAGCGACCUGUAUUCUCUCUUAUAUUUUUGCCGCAUGCAUAUAUCGUAGAGCUGCUGUUACUUAUCAUUGCCAAGAAUAUUGUUGUUGAUAUGUUUCCUAUUUUUAUCAUUCCUUAUUUGCAGCCAUACACUUUCUGAUCAUUUGUUUAUGCCAAUUUCAAAUUCUAUUCAUGUUUGUUCAAUCUGCUAUAGAGCUGAUCAUCAUUUUUUUGGUUUUUGUCCAAUGGAAAUGAGGACUAGAUGAUAUCAUGAGAGGCAGGGGUAGCAGCUGGAACCUGUAGCUGCUGCCCAUAUCCUGAUGCAUCGCUUGGAAGGAAGCUGGAAAACCCCGGAGAUCUUCACCACGACGACGACUUGCUCCACUCGGAAUGAUGCCAGGGACAAGAACAACCACGAUUCGUAUAACGGUGUAUCUCGCUGCUUUUUCUGAUAAGUUUGUGAUUUUUUUGGUGCUGCCCAUACUUUCACCAUUUAUAGUUUGCUGCAUGCAUAGGGCUACUGUUAUCAUUGUUCACCUUUUCCUUUUAAAUGUAAAAUUUGCUGUAUGCAUAGUCUGGAUCUACACAAGUUGUUGAAAUUUGUAUGCUUACCAUGUGGCAUGGAUAUGUGUUGUAGUGCGUUCGAAUGUAGAAUUUCCUUGUCCUUUUUUGUUCAUGCUCUGCCGUCCAUGGGAUGCUCUGUCCGUGCCUGUUGCACCUAACUGUGGCGAAUUUAGCUUGUUGGGUUGCAGUGUUCGUUCUGGUAACCUAAAGUUUAAGUUCUCGUUGGUCUCUUUUUAGUUGGUGAUUGUUAGUGUUAUCUUGCGACAUAAUAACUCAAUAUCAUUCUCUUCUUAAUUAGUGGGUUUAUUUAUUUAUUCUGUAGUUUAUGAAAGCUCAAAUAUCGUGCAUAGAGCUGACCAUCAUGUGUGUGUUUUUGUUGUUGGAGGAUACCGAGGAGGUUAACUAUAUGCCGCUGGAGACCCGAUGCAUCAUAUCACCUCUAUGUAUCAGCAGCUUUUUACCACCUCUAUGUAUCAGCAGCUUUUUACCACCUUGAUGCUGAACACUUGGAUGCUAUGGUUGUAGUGCAUGUGUAACCCAGGUUUCGGAUCCGGAAGCAUGUCCUAAUGCAGCAAUCUUGUGUUUUAUGUAAACGCCCUAUGAUGGGAUUGCAGAAACCUGCAUGGUGUGCAUCAGCUUUGCCUUGCUGGUUGUUUGUUAUCCGGUGUUGCAAAAAUUCUGGUUGA
This is a long non-coding RNA of Lolium rigidum, 2577 nucleotides long. RefSeq lists it as uncharacterized. The record is from RefSeq and is a predicted model, not a curated record. The transcript has 6 exons. Lineage: Eukaryota; Viridiplantae; Streptophyta; Magnoliopsida; Poales; Poaceae.